AUGUACGAAACAAAUAUAAGCUAUAAUGUUUUAGUUAUGUAAAAUAAUUGUGGCAGGUGAUAUUUAGGGAGUAAAGUGAAUUAAGGGUGUGUGGUUAGCUAUGUAUAAAGAUCAGCGGUAGGAACGAGAACGGCAGGUGCGUUUGUUUCUGGCCCGGCGGAAAUAGACCGAUACUUUUACUGUUUGUUUGCGAGAGGUUCGCAGGUGGAUUUUCUUGGAUCUCGGAGAUAGGUAUGAGUUUUGUUUUUUUUAAUCUUAAAAUGUUUUAAUAUGUGGUGUGUGUUUUAGGAAGAAUAAUAAAGGUGUUUUAAUGCAUGUGUUUCAGCUCUAUGAAGCCUAUUGUUUCAUAGGCGAGGGGUUUGCAUAUGCCGUCUUUUGGAUCUUUGACAUAGGUAGGAGUUUGUUUGAAGCACUAAAAUGUUUUAAUAGGUGGUGUUUGUCUUGAUAUACUGUAAAUAAUAAAGGUAUUUUAAUGUGUGUGUUUCAGCUCUACGGAGCCCAUUUGUUGCUCUUGUUGUAUUUGGGUUUCAGUUUAUUUUUUGGUUUUGGUUUAUUGUCUAGUCCGCCCGGAUACUUGAAUUGGUAAGUGGGCCGAAAGAAAUGGGAACGACCCUUUAGGCGGACUAGUUUUCUUUUGUUUAUUUAUAUUUUUGUUUGUUCCCCCCAUUGCUUAUAUAUACUUCACAAGAUGCUAUAUGCUUAGUGUUUAAGCAGAGUUGAGCUUUUUUUGCAUGUAAUUUACUUUUGAUGAAUUGUGUGAACCACGAAGGUUUAUUAUAAUGGGUUUUUGUGUGAUUUUUGCUGUUUUUGUAUGGUUUGAUGCUCAACUCUUGCUUGGUUAACUUAUGUUUAAGGUGUCCUGCGUAAUAAAAAAAAAACUCUGUAAAGCCAUCAAUACAUUUUCGGGAUUUAUUUAAACGAACCUGAGUUGUGUUGAUGUUUAUUUAAAGGUGGACCAUGUUACAUUAUUUUG
This is a long non-coding RNA of Sinocyclocheilus grahami, 973 nucleotides long. RefSeq lists it as uncharacterized. The transcript is spliced from 3 exons. NCBI's taxonomy places the organism in Eukaryota, Metazoa, Chordata, Actinopteri, Cypriniformes, Cyprinidae. The record is from RefSeq and is a predicted model, not a curated record.